AGCAAACAAGAUUAUAUUCUGCACAAGUUCUAAUUCCUUAAUCUACUUAAAGGCCUAUAUUUAUUGGUACAAAUUUCAAAUUACUAGACACUACUUCAAAUUUUCAACAUGGCCUAUGUGACUCAUCAGAUGAUCUUCAUUCAGUGUAGUGCUAUUCAAACAAAAUCCAUUACAAUCUAAGCUAUCAUAGUCGGUUUCAGUGAGAAAAGGGGGCAAUAACAAUGGCACAUAAAAACAUAUUUGUGAUUAAAAAAAAAGCAAAAUUCAACAAUUGAG
Molecule: unclassified non-coding RNA, 276 nt
Filed under: Hevea brasiliensis (rubber tree)
Lineage: Eukaryota; Viridiplantae; Streptophyta; Magnoliopsida; Malpighiales; Euphorbiaceae
Source: RNAcentral